Molecule: ribosomal RNA, 229 nt
Filed under: uncultured bacterium
Lineage: Bacteria
Description: partial 16S ribosomal RNA
Rfam family: Bacterial small subunit ribosomal RNA
Source: RNAcentral
UACGUAGGCGGAAAAUUAAGUCAGUAGUGAAAUCCUGCAGCUUAACUGUAGAACUGUUAUUGAUACUGGUUUUCUUGAAUAUAGUUGAGGUAGGCGGAAUGUGUAAUGUAGCGGUGAAAUGCUUAGAUAUUACACAGAACACCGAUUGCGAAGGCAGCUUACUAAGCUAUGAUUGACGCUGAGGUACGUAAGCGUGGGGAGCGAACAGGAUUAGAUACCCUGGUAGUCC